RNAcentral lists this small RNA (54 nucleotides) under Caenorhabditis elegans. RNAcentral describes it as "Unclassified non-coding RNA B0212.8". Lineage: Eukaryota; Metazoa; Nematoda; Chromadorea; Rhabditida; Rhabditidae. The record is from RNAcentral.
UAACAUUUUCUAAACUACAUUUUGUUAGUUGACAACUUUUUGAUAGCUAUUCUA